Non-coding RNA from Schizosaccharomyces pombe (fission yeast), 872 nucleotides. Lineage: Eukaryota; Fungi; Ascomycota; Schizosaccharomycetes; Schizosaccharomycetales; Schizosaccharomycetaceae. The record is from the annotation of a GenBank genome assembly.
UUAUACUCAUUAACUACUCUGAGGAUGACUGCUAAAGUGACUGUCUUUUAGAACACCUACCCUGAAGAAAACGAAUGUAUCCAGAAUAAAUCAUAUGUAGGAGGACAUCGGGAAAAGAGGGGGGUAGGAACAAGAACCGAAUCAAAUAAUAUAGUUAGAAAUAAAAAAAAGUCUACACUUCAUCAACGUUAUCAUCCCAAUCAUUAUCACGCAUGCUUCUGGGAGCGUAGUCUUGCAAUCCUGCUACGUAGUUUGCACCACAGUAGGCGAUACCUGCAAGAAGAACUAAAAAGCCUAGGAAAGAAGUAAACCCGGAGUAAGAAAAGAGUAAAGUACCCAUGAAAGCGUAGAAGAAGCCCCUUCCUAAGAAUGAGAACAUGAACGAUCCAUAUUUAAUAGCAAUAGGAGGAAUUUCCUUUUCUAAACCAAUAGUUCCCAAACCGAAAACGAUGAUGAACAAUGCAAGUAAAGCGUUUACGAAGCUAAAUGAAAAUAACUUGAUAAAUCCGCUUAAAACGAAGAUACCACCUACGCCCAAAUUAAUGGCACUAAACAUUUUUGUUUUAUCCAUUGUGAAUUAAGUGUAUGCAACCAAUAUUAAAUUUUUCAAGCAAUAUGUAUUUUAGUCGAUGUUUGCUUAAAGACAAAGAGAAAUGCAAGUUACUAAGCCUGCCUAUGCUUACCGAUGCGGUCAUGCAUAUUUACGAACUAUUGAAAUACGGUAAAUAAAAAUAACGAAUUCCAUAAUUCUCAACCAACUUUUUGUUGUUUACAGAAAAUGAAUAAUUCAAUUCAUCGAAAAUGCAUUUUGUUUUCUAUAGCAUUCUUUGUACUGUUUUUGAAGUUAAAAACACUAUCAUUUAGUAAAUAAU